Molecule: ribosomal RNA, 497 nt
Filed under: uncultured bacterium
Lineage: Bacteria
Description: partial 16S ribosomal RNA
Rfam family: Bacterial small subunit ribosomal RNA
Source: RNAcentral
GAUGAACGCUGGCGGCGUGCCUAACACAUGCAAGUCGAGCGAACAGACGAGGAGCUUGCUCCUCUGACGUUAGCGGCGGACGGGUGAGUAACACGUGGAUAACCUACCUAUAAGACUGGGAUAACUUCGGGAAACCGGAGCUAAUACCGGAUAAUAUAUUGAACCGCAUGGUUCAAUAGUGAAAGACGGUUUUGCUGUCACUUAUAGAUGUAUCCGCGCCGCAUUAGCUAGUUGGUAAGGUAACGGCUUACCAAGGCAACGAUGCGUAGCCGACCUGAGAGGGUGAUCGGCCACACUGGAACUGAGACACGGUCCAGACUCCUACGGGAGGCAGCAGUAGGGAAUCUUCCGCAAUGGGCGAAAGCCUGACGGAGCAACGCCGCGUGAGUGAUGAAGGUCUUCGGAUCGUAAAACUCUGUUAUUAGGGAAGAACAAAUGUGUAAGUAACUAUGCACGUCUUGACGGUACCUAAUCAGAAAGCCACGGCUAACUACGUG